CCAAUCAAACUUCGUGAUAGCUGGUUCUCCCCGAAAUGCAUUUAGGUGCAGCGUUACGUGUUUCUUGCCGGAGGUAGAGCUACUGGAUGGCCGAUGGGCCCUACAAGGUUACUGACGUCAGCCAAACUCCGAAUGCCGGUAAGUGAGAGCGUAGCAGUGAGACUGUGGGGGAUAAGCUUCAUAGUCGAGAGGGAAACAGCCCAGACCACCAACUAAGGCCCCUAAGCGUGUGCUAAGUGGGAAAGGAUGUGGAGUUGCUUAGACAACCAGGAGGUUGGCUUAGAAGCAGCCACCCUUGAAAGAGUGCGUAAUAGCUCACUGGUCAAGUGAUUCCGCGCCGACAAUGUAGCGGGGCUCAAGUACACCGCCGAAGUUGUGGCAUUGCACCAAUGAUACCCAACCGGUCCUAGAGGCCGGUUCAGGUGGUGCGAUGGGUAGGGGAGCGUCGUGUGGGCAGUGAAGCUGCGGGGUGACCCAGUGGUGGAGCCCACACGAGUGAGAAUGCAGGCAUGAGUAGCGAAUGACGGGUGAGAAACCCGUCCGCCGGAUGAUCAAGGGUUCCAGGGUCAAGCUAAUCUGCCCUGGGUCAGUCGGGACCUAAGGCGAGGCCGACAGGCGUAGUCGAUGGACAACGGGUUGAUAUUCCCGUACCGGCGAAGAACCGCCCCUAUCGAACCGGGGACACUAACCACCCGAACCGGGCCAUGCGGUGACCAUUGGUCGCCGCCGGCACCGGGGAGCGUGGGACCUGAACCGGGGAGGUAAGCGUAUUAACAGGUGUGACGCAGGAAGGUAGCCGAGCCGGGCGAUGGUAGACCCGGUCUAAGCGUGUAGGGCGAUCCGUUGGCAAAUCCGCGGAUCAUGAGCCUGAGACGUGACGGGACCCCCAUUCGUGGGGGGAUUCGGUGAUCCUAUGCUGCCGAGAAAAGCAUCGACGCGAGGUUCCAGCCGCCCGUACCCCAAACCGACACAGGUGAUCAGGUAGAGAAUACUAAGGCGAUCGAGAGAAUCAUGGUUAAGGAACUCGGCAAAAUGCCCCCGUAACUUCGGGAGAAGGGGGGCCCCGACCGUGGACACCACUUGCUGGUGCGAGCGGGUAAGGGCCGCAGAGACCAGGGGGAAGCGACUGUUUAUCAAAAACACAGGUCCGUGCGAAGUCGCAAGACGAUGUAUACGGACUGACUCCUGCCCGGUGCUGGAAGGUUAAGAGGACCUGUUAGCCUCACGGCGAAGCGGAGAAUUUAAGCCCCAGUAAACGGCGGUGGU
Molecule: ribosomal RNA, 1266 nt
Filed under: Shigella sonnei
Lineage: Bacteria; Pseudomonadati; Pseudomonadota; Gammaproteobacteria; Enterobacterales; Enterobacteriaceae
Description: partial 23S ribosomal RNA
Rfam family: Bacterial large subunit ribosomal RNA
Source: RNAcentral